GGUUGUGGCUCAGUGGUAGAGCACUCACCUAGCAUGUGCAAGGCCCUGGGUUCGAUCCUCAACACCA
This 67-nucleotide transfer RNA is filed under the name Marmota monax (woodchuck). RNAcentral describes it as "tRNA.Ala". The record is from RNAcentral. Lineage: Eukaryota; Metazoa; Chordata; Mammalia; Rodentia; Sciuridae.